GACGAACGCUGGCGGCGUGCCUAAUACAUGCAAGUAGGACGCAGUUGCGAACGGGUGAGUAACGCGUAGGUAACUACCUAUUAGAGGGGGAUAACUAUUGGAAACGAUAGCUAAUACCGCAUACUAGUAGAUGGACCUGCGUUGUAUUAGCUAGUAGGUAGGGUAAUGGCCUACCUAGGCAACGAUACAUAGCCGACCUGGGAGGGGGAUCGGUCACACUGGGACUGGGGCACGGCCCAGACUUCUACGGGAGGCCGCAGUAGGGAAUCUGCGGCAAUGGGGGGAACCCGGACCGAGCAACGGCGGGUGAAUGGAUGAGGUUUUCGGAUCGGAGGGGUCUGUUUUUAUGGAAGCGGUACUUAACCAGAAAGGGACGGCUAACUACAUGCCAGCAGCCGCGGUAAUAC
This 407-nucleotide ribosomal RNA is filed under the name uncultured bacterium. RNAcentral describes it as "partial 16S ribosomal RNA". It matches the Rfam family "Bacterial small subunit ribosomal RNA", at positions 28 to 526 of the family's 1533-position model. The record is from RNAcentral.